GUGCCAGUAGCCGCGGUAAUACGUAGGGUGCGAGCGUUGUCCGGAAUUAUUGGGCGUAAAGAGCUCGUAGGCGGUUUGUCGCGUCGGCCGUGAAAACCUGGGGCUUAACUCUGGGCCUGCGGUCGAUACGGGCAGACUUGAGUUCGGUAGGGGAGACUGGAAUUCCUGGUGUAGCGGUGAAAUGCGCAGAUAUCAGGAGGAACACCGGUGGCGAAGGCGGGUCUCUGGGCCGAUACUGACGCUGAGGAGCGAAAGCGUGGGGAGCGAACAGGAUUAGAUACCCUGGUAGUCC
RNAcentral lists this ribosomal RNA (292 nucleotides) under uncultured microorganism. RNAcentral describes it as "partial 16S ribosomal RNA". It matches the Rfam family "Bacterial small subunit ribosomal RNA", at positions 505 to 796 of the family's 1533-position model. The record is from RNAcentral.